GGUUCAAAAGAAGAAAGGAUGGGAAGAUGGCCGAGCAAUCCUUGGCUUGUUCUCUCUCGCGCGGUCAGCCGAGCUACGCGAGGGGUCACUUGAAGUAUAACUUGUCAUGCUAUUGCCGUUGGCCCUGCUAAUACGAUCGGUCAUUGCAUACCGUGCAUCGCAUUUGACUUCUGCUAUACGGGGACAGGUCGUUAUGAUUGGACAAAGUAGAGGGAGAGGGACGGCUUAUCUUCAAGUUAAGGCAAGCAAUCACGGAUAACGAGUAUGUAUGUAUAAAUUUAACGUCUCAGAGGAACGCGGGCAGCGUCUGUAUUCCAGAAGCCUCCCAGAGGGCAUGGAGACGUGCUAAGCUUGAGAGAUUUCUAUGUACAUAAAACUUAGAGACAGGAUCCAGAUGGCAACUCUUGAAAGAACUCAGCUCGUUGAGCUGUGCGUCCACUUCUGACCC
RNAcentral lists this small RNA (448 nucleotides) under Histoplasma ohiense. RNAcentral's name for it is "hypothetical lncRNA". The record is from RNAcentral. Lineage: Eukaryota; Fungi; Ascomycota; Eurotiomycetes; Onygenales; Ajellomycetaceae.